Molecule: long non-coding RNA, 537 nt
Organism: Toxorhynchites rutilus septentrionalis
Lineage: Eukaryota; Metazoa; Arthropoda; Insecta; Diptera; Culicidae
Exons: 3
Source: RefSeq, a predicted model, not a curated record
GAGAAUAUUUGUCGCAUAUGAUACCAUCGAUCGACAUCCGCUCUGGAGAAUCACGGACGAGCAUGGCAUUCCCGAAAGCUGACAAAAGUAUCCUAGGUAACUGACGAUCUAGCCUCACAGAGGUCAUCGAAAAGGGGAUGGAUUAUCCUGUCUGCUUUUCAACGAGAUACCGGAACGUGUUAUGCGAGAAGUGGGCUUCACCAUCCGGGUACGAUUCUCAACAAAUCCUUUCAGAUUAGAUACACGAAGUACCGAUAGUACGCUUAGUCCAGUCGUUUACCAAACAACCCUCCUUAUAAAGUUGGCUUAUGUUCGUCGUAACGAAAUAUAAUUCGAAGUAGUAAACUGUAAACUGCGAGCCCUGUGAUUCCGUGUAUUCGGCAGUGCAGUGAUUUUUUUUAGUGGAAAAUAUUCGACAUUACAGUGACAUUGUGGAUUUGCAUGCAAACAGUUUCAUAUCCGUGCAUAUGUUUGUUAAGCGUGGUUCUCAGGAGCAACAUUUUGCCGCAGACAUAUAAAUAAAGACAUAGGAAAAAU